GGGAAAAACCUUGAUGAAAUUCACCUUGAGCCUUAUGAGAAAGUGAACAUAGGUAGUGAUGGUAAUGUGUCUGAAAGUGAGGAUGAAGAGAGUGAGAUGCCCCAGCCGAAAAAACGAUGUCACUCCUCUUUAGCAUCUACAGGUUUGCAGCCCUUUGACUUGCUAUAAGCAGACGAAUCUUCGGUUGGCAGCAAGUCUUCGGGGGAGAGUGACAUGCCUCAGCCAAAGAAGCGACAUCAUUCCCCUUCAACAACUACAGAAGAACUUUCAUUUGGCGACAAGUCAGUAAAGGAGAAGGAGUUGCCUUCAAAGUCAGGUGUGUCAAAAAACCAAAAGAGGAAAUGGACUGAAGAUGAGGUGAAGGCGGUGGAGAACAAACUUCUACAUUUCAUCACAUCUAGCAGGGUACCAGGGAAAAGAGAGUGUGAAGACUGCAUCAGGUCAGCUCUGGUGUUGCUCCAGAAUAGAACCUGGGAAGCCGUGAAAUUUUACAUAAAUCACAGCACUCAAGAGGGGAGUGUGAUAAAAGAAAAUAAAGUACAGUUGUGUUUAGAGGUAGCAGGGAGCACCUGCUGACCUGUGUCCGAAUGCUGAUUUAAGAAGUUUGAGCAACAACAACCACCACCACAAAUGAUGUUGAUGCCAUGGCCAGCAAAAUUGAGGUGCUGGUGGCAAGUAUCAAGAGAUGUUCCAGCAUCUCUAUAAAGAUACAGAUGGCAACAAAGGUCGUGCCAGGAUCCGCCACAAGAUCAGGAAAAAGAAGGGGAUCCUGACAUCAGCUGUAGAGAAAUACAACUUAAUGGUUCCAAACACAGAAACUCUGUGCAUGUAAACCAUUUUGUCUGGUGAGACAGCUUGGCCAUAGCAGCUACCACUGUGUACAUUUUGUCUGGUGAGACAGCUUGGCCAUAGCAGCUACCACACAGUGGACAAAAAGAAAGGUAUUCAAAAUCAUGUCACUAAGGCGACUUCAGGAGGAGACGAUUCUUGUUGCAGAAAUGGACCACCAUUAGAAAUAUCUUUCAACUCGUGCUGAGACCCUUAGAGAACUGUCUGGUUUGAUUGCCAGUGAGAGACUAAAAAAUUCUCAAUGUGGCCUAAGUGAAGAAGGUUUGAAAAGUCUGCAGAGCAUCAUCCACAGAAAGCAACGUAAAAUCAGAGAGAUGAGGGUGCAAGCAAGAGACUGUCACCUGCACGUAUUGUUUGGAGCAGAGAACAUCAACUUCUUAAACAAAUCGUCAGCUGAAGACUAUGACAGUGACUUUGAAAUUUCUGAUGAUGAACUGUAAUCAACAUCACUGCUCUAGAGGAGAUCUGCAAGGAGGAAUAGGCCAAACUACUAGUAACAGUGUAUAAAAACCUUGUGGAGACUUACAGAAAAAAUUAACAAAAAAUAUAACAGUAUUAUAACAGUUAAGAUUGGCAGAGGGCUGGAUUACUUUAAGAAACCAAAAGGAAAGACCAAUAUGAAACACAUAUUCUUAUCUUACUCUACAUAGUCUCUCUGUUUGCGGAAGAACAAGGCUGGUGCCUGAUCAAGCGCACAGCUGCCUCUCACCAUCUGAGUCUAACAGUAGACUUUUAACAACUGUAAUGUUAAGAAGAGUAUUGGCACAUAUGUUCACUGUCUCACACGAAUGAAAAAGACUUAGAUAUGUGCUAUCAAGUAUUGAGAAACUUUUGUUAUUGACCAAAUACUUAUUUUCCACCAUAAUUUGCAAAUAAAUUCUUGAAAAAUCAA
Long non-coding RNA from Silurus meridionalis, 1741 nucleotides. RefSeq lists it as uncharacterized. The transcript is spliced from 10 exons. Lineage: Eukaryota; Metazoa; Chordata; Actinopteri; Siluriformes; Siluridae. The record is from RefSeq and is a predicted model, not a curated record.